Molecule: long non-coding RNA, 1651 nt
Organism: Equus caballus (horse)
Lineage: Eukaryota; Metazoa; Chordata; Mammalia; Perissodactyla; Equidae
Source: Ensembl
GCUGGAUGCUAGAACUUGUGGCUGAGGUGGGAGAGGCUGGCCUCAGUAGAGUGUGGGCCAUCUGAAGUCAGGAAAUGCUUUGUUUGUGCUAAAUUUCACACACUCAUUUAUAGAUGAAUUCAACCAAGGGAUAUUUACUGCUUUGUGGUUCUUAUAAUAUUUACUUUGCGUUAGUACAAUGCUCUAUAUUUGUAAAUUCAACAGAAAAUAAUUGAGUUUUGGAAAGCCAUGAUAAUUUCUGUAUUACAUCAUUUAUACAUUAUUAAGAGUUGAGCAUUAGUAUAAAUUUUAAAAAUUAUAGGCUGGCCACGUGGCCUAGUAGCUAAGUUCGGCGCACUCCACUUCAGCGGCCCACAUUCCGUUGCCCGGCACAGGCCUACAGCACUUGCUGGUGGCCAUGCUGUGUUGGUGACCCACACACAAAAUGGAGGAAGAUUAGCAUAGAUGUUAGCUCAGGGUAGAUCUUCCUCAAGCAAAAAGAGGAGGAUUGGCAACAGGUGUUAGCUCAGGGUGACUCUUCCUCAGCAAAAUAAAUAAUUACCUGUUUGUUACUUUAUUUUAACCUUAUAAAACUAUGGUGUUUUCCUGAUUUUAGAAGUAAUAUCUUCCUUAUAAAAAACAAUUCAUGAUUGAAAGUAUAAAGAGGAAAAACAACAGCAAGCAGGUCAAAUUCUACUGGCCAAAAUAAUCAUUUUUAAUAUUUUGGUAUGUUUUCUGCUAGAUCAUUUUCUAUAUAUUGAUAUAUAUUUUACACAGUUGAAACAAUACUAUAUGUUUAAUUUCCUAUCACGCUUUUUUACUUAAUAUAAGCAUUUCUCUAGCAUCAUUAAAAACUCUUCAUGAACAUUUUAAUGACUAUAUAAUAUCCCAUUGUAUAGAUUUACUGUAAUUUUUUAAGUCAUUCUUUUAUUAUUUAUCCUUAGUCUGCUUCCAAAUUUCUGAUAUGUGGAAUAAUAGCAUUUAGCAUUUAUUGAGCACUCUCUGUGCCAGGCACUAUUCUAAACUCUGCUAUGUAUUCUCAUUUAAUCUUCACACCAACCUUGUAAGGCAGGUACUUUUGUGUGUGUGUGUGUGUUUUUUAAGUCACCGAUUUAUUGAUGAGGAAACUGAGCCCAGAAAAUUAAUAGUUUGCUGAAGGUCACAUAGCUGGUACAUGGUAGAACUGUGUUAACUUCUAAGUCAUACCACAUAAAUUCAAAUCAGCAUUUUGAUUCCUUAGAAUAUAUAUUUUUAGAAGUGUAUAGAAGAGCAUAAAGAUAUUUUUAGUUUAUGUGUACAUAUGUAUGUAUGUAUGUAUGUAGACGCUCACAUGGUCUCACAUAUGUAUCUUGAGUGUAACUGCUUUUAAGCUCGCUUAUCCGUUUAGUCGUGUUUAUACCCCCACACUUGAGUGUAUGGGUGCCCUUUUACUUCACUCCAUCUUUCUGAAUUAUCAUUUGGUUAAAACUUUGCUAAUUUAAUAGUAAGUAACGUCUAAUGUGAUUGGAAAGUUUCUUCAUGUCAUGUGUUUUUCAUUUCAGUGAAUUGUCUGUUCAUGUUUUUUGCCCAUUAAGUUCUUGGGGUCCCAGUAUUUUCUAAACCUUUUACACAGUCUUUCAAUUGUAGCUAUUCUUGUAUUUUUCAUUUGCCAACUAAAACUGACUUUUAAAAA